GGCCUCGUGGUGUAGUUGUAACACGUCCCCUAUUGAUGAAUCACCGAAUUCGAGGGAAGUGCCUUGUUCGAAUCAUGGUGAGGCCA
Molecule: non-coding RNA, 86 nt
Organism: Mycena leptocephala
Lineage: Eukaryota; Fungi; Basidiomycota; Agaricomycetes; Agaricales; Mycenaceae
Source: the annotation of a GenBank genome assembly